This 487-nucleotide ribosomal RNA is filed under the name uncultured bacterium. Its description in RNAcentral is "bacterial SSU rRNA". It matches the Rfam family "Bacterial small subunit ribosomal RNA", at positions 8 to 483 of the family's 1533-position model. The record is from RNAcentral.
AGAGUUUGAUCCUGGCUCAGAGUGAACGCUGGCGGCAGGCCUAACACAUGCAAGUCGAACGGCAGCACAGCAGUAGCAAUACUGUGGGUGGCGAGUGGCGGACGGGUGAGGAAUGCGUCGGAAUCUGCCUUUUUGUGGGGGAUAACGUAGGGAAACUUACGCUAAUACCGCAUACGACCUACGGGUGAAAGUGGGGGACCUUCGGGCCUCACGCAGAAAGAUGAGCCGACGCCGGAUUAGCUAGUUGGCGGGGUAAAGGCCCACCAAGGCGACGAUCCGUAGCUGGUCUGAGAGGAUGAUCAGCCACACUGGGACUGAGACACGGCCCAGACUCCUACGGGAGGCAGCAGUGGGGAAUAUUGGACAAUGGGCGCAAGCCUGAUCCAGCCAUGCCGCGUGUGUGAAGAAGGCCUUCGGAGUUGUAAAGCACUUUUGUCCGGAAAGAAAAGCUUCGGGUUAAUAAACCUGGAGUCAUGACGUACCGGAA